RNAcentral lists this long non-coding RNA (410 nucleotides) under Sus scrofa (pig). Its description in RNAcentral is "lncRNA (ENSSSCG00040071942.1, ENSSSCG00055017653.1)". The record is from RNAcentral. Lineage: Eukaryota; Metazoa; Chordata; Mammalia; Artiodactyla; Suidae.
GUUGGACUCCAGCUGGUUUCCCGACCUAACUCGGAAAAAAGAGGCCUGCAAAAAAACUUGAAAGCUCAGCGACACAACAGCUGUGAGCUAAUGCGGGAGAGGGAAUCACCCACCCCCAGCGAGAAAGCGGCAAGACUUGGGAGCUCACAGCUCCCACUCUCAUGUCAACCUCUGCCUGGACCAGGAGGGAAUCAGAAAAAAAAGCACACCCCUUGACUACUGAAGCCUCUGGUUUAAGACCUAUGCAACUGACAACACACUGGCCUAGGUUUGGGCUCCCUUUUGAAAUACAGACAGCAGCAAGCAGUGCCUCAGAGAUAUGCCUGCUUUCUCUCCUCUGCCUUCUGCCAUGGACACAGAGAGCCCUGCAUGGCAUCACGGUACCUAACAGCCCCUCCUGCCACAGGAGA